AUUGAACGCUGGCGGCAUGCUUUACACAUGCAAGUCGAACGGUAACAGGGUGCUUGCACCGCUGACGAGUGGCGAACGGGUGAGUAAUGCGUCGGAACGUGCCGAGUAGUGGGGGAUAACGCAGCGAAAGUUGUGCUAAUACCGCAUACGUACUGAGGUAGAAAGUGGGGGACCUUCGGGCCUCACGCUAUUCGAGCGGCCGACGUCUGAUUAGCUAGUAGGUGAGGUAAAGGCUCACCUAGGCGACGAUCAGUAGCGGGUCUGAGAGGAUGAUCCGCCACGCUGGGACUGAGACACGGCCCAGACUCCUACGGGAGGCAGCAGUGGGGAAUUUUGGACAAUGGGAGGAAGCCUGAUCUAGCCAUGCCGCGUGUCUGAAGAAGGCCUUCGGGUUGUAAAGGACUUUUGUCAGGGAGGAAAUCCCUAGUGCUAAUAACACUGGGGGAUGACAGUACCUGAAGAAUAAGCACCGGCUAACUACGUGCCAGCCGCCGCUGUAA
This 500-nucleotide ribosomal RNA is filed under the name uncultured bacterium. Its description in RNAcentral is "partial 16S ribosomal RNA". It matches the Rfam family "Bacterial small subunit ribosomal RNA", at positions 30 to 523 of the family's 1533-position model. The record is from RNAcentral.